UACGGGGGGGGCAAGCGUUGUUCGGAAUUACUGGGCGUAAAGGGCUCGUAGGCGGCCAACUAAGUCAGACGUGAAAUCCCUCGGCUUAACCGGGGAACUGCGUCUGAUACUGGAUGGCUUGAGAUUGGGAGAGGGAUGCGGAAUUCCUGGUGUAGCGGUGAAAUGCGUAGAUAUCUGGAGGAACACCGGUGGCGAAGGCGGCAUCUUGGACCAACACUGACGCUGAGGAGCGAAAGCCAGGGGAGCAAACGGG
RNAcentral lists this ribosomal RNA (253 nucleotides) under uncultured bacterium. RNAcentral describes it as "partial 16S ribosomal RNA". It matches the Rfam family "Bacterial small subunit ribosomal RNA", at positions 524 to 776 of the family's 1533-position model. The record is from RNAcentral.